Molecule: ribosomal RNA, 3027 nt
Filed under: Salmonella enterica subsp. enterica serovar Senftenberg
Lineage: Bacteria; Pseudomonadati; Pseudomonadota; Gammaproteobacteria; Enterobacterales; Enterobacteriaceae
Description: 23S ribosomal RNA
Rfam family: Bacterial large subunit ribosomal RNA
Source: RNAcentral
GGGUUGUGAGGUUAAGCGACUAAGCGUACACGGUGGAUGCCCUGGCAGUCAGAGGCGAUGAAGGGCGUGCUAAUCUGCGAUAAGCGCCGGUAAGGUGAUAUGAACCGUUAUAACCGGCGAUACCCGAAUGGGGAAACCCAGUGUGAUUCGUCACACUAUCAUUAACUGAAUCCAUAGGUUAAUGAGGCGAACCGGGGGAACUGAAACAUCUAAGUACCCCGAGGAAAAGAAAUCAACCGAGAUUCCCCCAGUAGCGGCGAGCGAACGGGGAGGAGCCCAGAGCCUGAAUCAGCAUGUGUGUUAGUGGAAGCGUCUGGAAAGGCGCGCGAUACAGGGUGACAGCCCCGUACACAAAAGCGCAUGUGCUGUGAGCUCGAUGAGUAGGGCGGGACACGUGGUAUCCUGUCUGAAUAUGGGGGGACCAUCCUCCAAGGCUAAAUACUCCUGACUGACCGAUAGUGAACCAGUACCGUGAGGGAAAGGCGAAAAGAACCCCGGCGAGGGGAGUGAAAAAGAACCUGAAACCGUGUACGUACAAGCAGUGGGAGCCCCACCACUAAGCCAGUGGUGAACUCCACAUACGCAUCCUUUGCUGAGGAUACGGUUAACGGAGCGAAAGCGACGUUCAACCUCAAAAGAAGCAGAGGGGGCUUAGUGGUGGGGUGACUGCGUACCUUUUGUAUAAUGGGUCAGCGACUUAUAUUCUGUAGCAAGGUUAACCGAAUAGGGGAGCCGGAGGGAAACCGAGUCUUAAUUGGGCGUUAAGUUGCAGGGUAUAGACCCGAAACCCGGUGAUCUAGCCAUGGGCAGGUUGAAGGUUGGGUAACACUAACUGGAGGACCGAACCGACUAAUGUUGAAAAAUUAGCGGAUGACCUGUGGCUGGGGGUGAAAGGCCAAUCAAACCGGGAGAUAGCUGGUUCUCCCCGAAAGCUAUUUAGGUAGCGCCUCGUGAAUUCAUCUCCGGGGGUAGAGCACUGUUUCGGCUAGGGGGCCAUCCCGGCUUACCAACCCGAUGCAAACUGCGAAUACCGGAGAAUGUUAUCACGGGAGACACACGGCGGGUGCUAACGUCCGUCGUGAAGAGGGAAACAACCCAGACCGCCAGCUAAGGUCCCAAAGUCAUGGUUAAGUGGGAAACGAUGUGGGAAGGCCCAGACAGCCAGGAUGUUGGCUUAGAAGCAGCCAUCAUUUAAAGAAAGCGUAAUAGCUCACUGGUCGAGUCGGCCUGCGCGGAAGAUGUAACGGGGCUAAACCAUGCACCGAAGCUGCGGCAGCGACACUGUGUGUUGUUGGGUAGGGGAGCGUUCUGUAAGCCUGUGAAGGUGUGUCGUGAGGCAUGCUGGAGGUAUCAGAAGUGCGAAUGCUGACAUAAGUAACGAUAAAGCGGGUGAAAAGCCCGCUCGCCGGAAGACCAAGGGUUCCUGUCCAACGUUAAUCGGGGCAGGGUGAGUCGACCCCUAAGGCGAGGCCGAAAGGCGUAGUCGAUGGGAAACGGGUUAAUAUUCCCGUACUUGGUGUUACUGCGAAGGGGGGACGGAGAAGGCUAUGUUGGCCGGGCGACGGUUGUCCCGGUUUAAGCGUGUAGGUGUGUGUUCCAGGUAAAUCCGGUUCACUUUAACACUGAGGCGUGACGACGAGGCACUACGGUGCUGAAGCAACAAAUGCCCUGCUUCCAGGAAAAGCCUCUAAGCAUCAGGUAACAUCAAAUCGUACCCCAAACCGACACAGGUGGUCAGGUAGAGAAUACCAAGGCGCUUGAGAGAACUCGGGUGAAGGAACUAGGCAAAAUGGUGCCGUAACUUCGGGAGAAGGCACGCUGACACGUAGGUGAAGUGAUUUACUCAUGGAGCUGAAGUCAGUCGAAGAUACCAGCUGGCUGCAACUGUUUAUUAAAAACACAGCACUGUGCAAACACGAAAGUGGACGUAUACGGUGUGACGCCUGCCCGGUGCCGGAAGGUUAAUUGAUGGGGUCAGCGCAAGCGAAGCUCCUGAUCGAAGCCCCGGUAAACGGCGGCCGUAACUAUAACGGUCCUAAGGUAGCGAAAUUCCUUGUCGGGUAAGUUCCGACCUGCACGAAUGGCGUAAUGAUGGCCAGGCUGUCUCCACCCGAGACUCAGUGAAAUUGAACUCGCUGUGAAGAUGCAGUGUACCCGCGGCAAGACGGAAAGACCCCGUGAACCUUUACUAUAGCUUGACACUGAACAUUGAGCCUUGAUGUGUAGGAUAGGUGGGAGGCUUUGAAGUGUGGACGCCAGUCUGCAUGGAGCCGACCUUGAAAUACCACCCUUUAAUGUUUGAUGUUCUAACGUGGACCCGUAAUCCGGGUUGCGGACAGUGUCUGGUGGGUAGUUUGACUGGGGCGGUCUCCUCCUAAAGAGUAACGGAGGAGCACGAAGGUUGGCUAAUCCUGGUCGGACAUCAGGAGGUUAGUGCAAUGGCAUAAGCCAGCUUGACUGCGAGCGUGACGGCGCGAGCAGGUGCGAAAGCAGGUCAUAGUGAUCCGGUGGUUCUGAAUGGAAGGGCCAUCGCUCAACGGAUAAAAGGUACUCCGGGGAUAACAGGCUGAUACCGCCCAAGAGUUCAUAUCGACGGCGGUGUUUGGCACCUCGAUGUCGGCUCAUCACAUCCUGGGGCUGAAGUAGGUCCCAAGGGUAUGGCUGUUCGCCAUUUAAAGUGGUACGCGAGCUGGGUUUAGAACGUCGUGAGACAGUUCGGUCCCUAUCUGCCGUGGGCGCUGGAGAACUGAGGGGGGCUGCUCCUAGUACGAGAGGACCGGAGUGGACGCAUCACUGGUGUUCGGGUUGUCAUGCCAAUGGCACUGCCCGGUAGCUAAAUGCGGAAGAGAUAAGUGCUGAAAGCAUCUAAGCACGAAACUUGCCCCGAGAUGAGUUCUCCCUGAGACUUAGAGUCUCCUGAAGGAACGUUGAAGACGACGACGUUGAUAGGCCGGGUGUGUAAGCGCAGCGAUGCGUUGAGCUAACCGGUACUAAUGAACCGUGAGGCUUAACCUUACAACGCCGAAG